RNAcentral lists this ribosomal RNA (460 nucleotides) under Bacillus safensis. RNAcentral describes it as "bacterial SSU rRNA". It matches the Rfam family "Bacterial small subunit ribosomal RNA", at positions 73 to 514 of the family's 1533-position model. Lineage: Bacteria; Bacillati; Bacillota; Bacilli; Caryophanales; Bacillaceae. The record is from RNAcentral.
AGGAGGGAAACUUGCUCCCUGAUGUUAGCGGCGGACGGGUGAGUAACACGUGGGUAACCUGCCUGUAAGACUGGGAUAACUCCGGGAAACCGGAGCUAAUACCGGAUAGUUCCUUGACUCGCAUGGUUCGAGGAUGAAAGACGGUUUCGGCUGUCACUUACAGAUGGACCCGCGGCGCAUUAGCUAGUUGGUGGGGUAAUGGCUCACCAAGGCGACGAUGCGUAGCCGACCUGAGAGGGUGAUCGGCCACACUGGGACUGAGACACGGCCCAGACUCCUACGGGAGGCAGCAGUAGGGAAUCUUCCGCAAUGGACGAAAGUCUGACGGAGCAACGCCGCGUGAGUGAUGAAGGUUUUCGGAUCGUAAAGCUCUGUUGUUAGGGAAGAACAAGUGCGAGAGUAACUGCUCGCACCUUGACGGUACCUAACCAGAAAGCCACGGCUAACUACGUGCCAGCAG